RNAcentral lists this ribosomal RNA (585 nucleotides) under uncultured bacterium. RNAcentral's name for it is "bacterial SSU rRNA". It matches the Rfam family "Bacterial small subunit ribosomal RNA", at positions 339 to 915 of the family's 1533-position model. The record is from RNAcentral.
CUACGGGAGGCAGCAGUAGGGAAUCUUCCACAAUGGGCGAAAGCCUGAUGGAGCAACGCCGCGUGAGUGAAGAAGGAUUUCGGUUCGUAAAACUCUGUUGUAAGGGAAGAACAAGUACAGUAGUAACUGGCUGUACCUUGACGGUACCUUAUUAGAAAGCCACGGCUAACUACGUGCCAGCAGCCGCGGUAAUACGUAGGUGGCAAGCGUUGUCCGGAAUUAUUGGGCGUAAAGCGCGCGCAGGUGGUUUCUUAAGUCUGAUGUGAAAGCCCACGGCUCAACCGUGGAGGGUCAUUGGAAACUGGGAGACUUGAGUGCAGAAGAGGAUAGUGGAAUUCCAAGUGUAGCGGUGAAAUGCGUAGAGAUUUGGAGGAACACCAGUGGCGAAGGCGACUAUCUGGWCUGUAACUGACACUGAGGCGCGAAAGCGUGGGGAGCAAACAGGAUUAGAUACCCUGGUAGUCCACGCCGUAAACGAUGAGUGCUAAGUGUUAGGGGGUUUCCGCCCCUUAGUGCUGCAGCUAACGCAUUAAGCACUCCGCCUGGGGAGUACGGUCGCAAGACUGAAACUCAAAGGAAUUGACG